RNAcentral lists this ribosomal RNA (467 nucleotides) under uncultured bacterium. RNAcentral's name for it is "partial 16S ribosomal RNA". It matches the Rfam family "Bacterial small subunit ribosomal RNA", at positions 28 to 507 of the family's 1533-position model. The record is from RNAcentral.
GACGAACGCUGGCGGCGUGCUUAACACAUGCAAGUCGAACGGAAAGGCCUCUUUCGGGGGGUACUCGAGUGGCGAACGGGUGAGUAACACGUGAGUAACCUGCCCUUGACUUUGGGAUAACUUCAGGAAACUGGGGCUAAUACCGGAUAGGAGCUCCUGCUGCAUGGUGGGGGUUGGAAAGUUUCGGCGGUUGGGGAUGGACUCGCGGCUUAUCAGCUUGUUGGUGGGGUAGUGGCUUACCAAGGCUUUGACGGGUAGCCGGCCUGAGAGGGUGACCGGCCACAUUGGGACUGAGAUACGGCCCAGACUCCUACGGGAGGCAACAGUGGGGAAUAUUGCACAAUGGGUGGAAGCCUGAUGCAGCAACGCCGUGUGCGGGAUGACGGCCUUCGGGUUGUAAACCGCUUUCGCUCAUGACGAAGCUUUGUGUGACGGUAGUGGGUAAAGAAGCACCGGCUAACUACGUG